CCGAACUCAUUUUUGUUUUCAUUUUCAGAACAAGUGUAACGAGAGUCAAAAAGACGUCUCCAAAUACAAGAAGAAGUUCAAUGCUAUGAAAUCAUAUAUGAAGAAACUGAAUAAGACUUUGAAGACUUCUGGACUCGACAUGACGCAGAUGGCUUCUACUUCAAAGUCCACAAUACCGUCUGCAUUCGGAUCAGAUAUUUCUGAUUCUGAUUCAGAAGACUCGCUUUCAGACGAGUGUUGAUUAAAAGAUAUUUUUUUCCUUAUUCAAACUUCGAAUGUUUAACGAUUCUGUAAUUUAAUUUCUUUUUAAUAAAAAACAUCGAUUUCAAUUUCAAAAUCGUUUUCUCAAAUCAAAUAUCGAUUUCUAUUUCAAAAAACAACGAUUCGAACGCAAAAUAUAGAAUCCUGUUCUAAAAAAAAAUUGUAACAAACAUUGUAUGGCGGAUUUCCGCCAUCUAAACUCUUCCACUUAGUUUUAGAUGGCGGAUUUCCGCCAUCUAAAUAUGGGCACAAUCGCCCUCUCCUACGAAUAGAUGGCGGAUAUCCGCCAUCUAUAAUCUAAAGGAACCGCCUUUUGUACUUUAGAUGGCGGAUUUCCGCCAUCUAAUGUUCCAAGAAUAGUCGGCGGACAUCCGCCAUUAAUGAAAUUAACCGCCAUCAAUGAAUUGGCGCCAAACUAUUCCCUCGCCAUAUUUUAGAUGGCGGAUUUCCGCCAUCUAAAACUUUUCAGUUCGCGCGGAUUUCCGCCAUCUAUACAAUUUUUGGUGGGAAAUGGGGAUGGAUAAUAGAUGGCGGUCUUUAGAUGGCGGUUUAGGGGUUUUAAUGGCGGUGUCCAAGAUGGCGGUCUUUAGAUGGCGGAUUUCCGCCGAGGAUCACUUUAGAUGGUGGAAAUCCGCCAUCUAAAGACCGCCAUACAAGGUCUUAUUUCUUGUAGUGAUAAUGGUUGUAGGUUCAAUUUGAUUUCCAGCCAUAGGAUAGAGGUUGCACUGUAUGAUUUUGAGAAGGAUUGUAACUUCGAGAGUUAGUAUGGAUCUGUGUAUGUUUCCACAGUUACUCGGAUUGAAUCUGAGUGUUAAUGUGAUCUAUAGCAACUCCUUGGAGCAUUCGAAUGGAAGACUUUCAACAGUCUUAAAAUCUUGUAACUUGAUACCUAUAUUUGGAAGUCGAGUCCACAUGCUGAGGGAUACGGAUGAUAUGAUAACAAACUCGUUGUUUAUCAUGCUAGUGAUGACUUGAGAUCCCUCCUUGUUGUAUUCGAAGUUGACAUAGAAUUGGGCUAGCUCCGACUUGUAGAUCCUCACUUGAUUGAUCUUCUCAAGAUAAGUGGUGAGGUCAUUGUAGCUUAACCAUCCUUCCAAGACUUUGCAUUUGAGUGCUCCAAAGUUGACCGGUUCUUCAAAGAGCAUGUGUUGGUCGAGAAUGAGGUUGUAGAAACCUUCUCCACCUGGAGUUCCCCGUGUUAGCUUCCCUUUGAAUGUCUCUUGAUGAGGGAUAUGCUUUUCCUUCCUCUUCUUGGGUUGAGGAUGAUAGAUAGGGCUUGGUGGUGGAGUUAGACCUAUCACUGUUUUCCAUUCACGGUCGAGAACCUCUUCAAUGAUCAUCGUGAAGAAGAAGGGUUUUAUGGAGUGAAUGAGUUUCUGAUUUUUGAGAGCGAGUGAUUCUCCUAUUUAUAGAUAAAGCUUGAGCUUUAUGAGUUUAGGGUUUUAAACAUAUCUCUACUUUAGCUGCCAAGGAUUUCU
Molecule: long non-coding RNA, 1739 nt
Filed under: Zostera marina
Lineage: Eukaryota; Viridiplantae; Streptophyta; Magnoliopsida; Alismatales; Zosteraceae
Description: long non-coding RNA (ZMAR_LNC004366)
Source: RNAcentral